CGGCUUCGGGGCUCCUCUCCGCGCGCCAGGGCGCGGGCACCACCGCGGCCCCCUCGGGCGGGCACCAGGCUCGGGGCGCCAGGAGUCGGGGGCAGCCCUCCGGGGCUCCGGGACCAUGGCGCUGCGCGCCCGGGCGCUGUACGACUUCAGGUCGGAGAACCCGGGCGAGAUCUCGCUGCGGGAGCACGAGGUGCUGAGCCUGUGCAGCGAGCAGGACAUCGAGGGCUGGCUCGAGGGGAUCAACAGCCGCGGGGACCGCGGCCUCUUCCCGGCCUCGUACGUGCAGGUGAUCCGAGCCCCCGAGCCCGGCCCGGCGGGCGACGGCGGCCCGGGCGUCCCGGCCCGCUACGCCAACGUGCCACCCGGCGGUUUCGAGCCCCUGCCCGCCGCGCCGCCCGCCUCCUUCAAGCCGCCGCCCGAUGCCUUCCAGCCGCUGCUGCAACCGCAGCAGGCGCCGCCGCCGAGCACCUUCCAGCCGCCGGGCGCUGGCUUCUCGUAUGGCGGGGGUGCCCUGCAGCCGUCGCCGCAGCAGCUCUACGGCGGCGGCUACCAGGCCAGCCAGGGCAGCGACGAUGACUGGGACGACGAGUGGGACGACAGCUCCACGGUGGCUGACGAGCCGGGCGUGCUGGGUAGCGGCGCGUACCCGGACCUUGACGGCUCGUCGUCGGGGGGCGUCGGCGCUGCGGGCCGCUACCGCCUGUCCACGCGCUCCGACUUGUCGCUGGGCUCCCGCGGCGGCUCGGCGCCCCCGCAGCACCACCCGUCGGGGGCCAAGAGCUCGGCCACCGUGAGCCGCAACCUCAACCGCUUCUCCACCUUCGUCAAGUCGGGCGGGGAGGCCUUCGUGCUGGGCGAGGCGUCGGGCUUCGUGAAGGACGGGGACAAGCUGUGCGUGGUGCUGGGGCCCUACGGCCCCGAGUGGCAGGAGAACCCCUACCCCUUCCAGUGCACCAUCGACGACCCCACCAAGCAGACCAAGUUCAAGGGCAUGAAGAGCUACAUCUCCUACAAGCUGGUGCCCACGCACACGCAGGUGCCAGUGCACCGGCGGUACAAGCACUUCGACUGGCUGUAUGCGCGCCUGGCCGAGAAGUUCCCCGUCAUCUCGGUGCCCCACCUGCCCGAGAAGCAGGCCACCGGCCGCUUCGAGGAGGACUUCAUCUCCAAGCGCAGGAAGGGCCUGAUCUGGUGGAUGAACCACAUGGCCAGCCACCCGGUGCUGGCUCAGUGUGACGUCUUCCAGCACUUCCUGACCUGCCCCAGCAGCACCGACGAGAAGGCCUGGAAACAGGGCAAGAGGAAGGCCGAGAAGGAUGAGAUGGUGGGCGCCAACUUCUUCCUGACCCUGAGCACACCCCCCGCCGCCGCCCUCGACCUGCAGGAGGUGGAGAGCAAGAUCGACGGCUUCAAGUGCUUCACCAAGAAGAUGGACGACAGCGCGCUGCAGCUCAACCACACGGCCAAUGAAUUCGCGCGCAAGCAGGUGACGGGCUUCAAGAAGGAGUAUCAGAAGGUGGGCCAGUCCUUCCGCGGCCUCAGCCAGGCCUUUGAGCUGGACCAGCAGGCCUUCUCGGCCGGCCUGAACCAGGCCAUCGCCUUCACCGGAGAUGCCUACGACGCCAUCGGCGAGCUCUUCGCCGAGCAGCCCAGGCAGGACCUGGACCCCGUCAUGGACCUGUUAGCGCUGUAUCAGGGGCACCUGGCCAACUUCCCCGACAUCAUCCACGUUCAGAAAGGUUAAUCAUUUGGGAAAUAGAGCCGAGAUGUUGUGUUUCCCCUCUUGCAGUUAAUUAUUACUUACGAUCCCGGCAAGGUGAGUGAAAGAAAACUACCCUGAAUCAAAAGGUGAGUUCUGAGAAGUCAUCCUUCAUGUCUCAGUUCUAAGAAAGGUACCUGAGGACAUUAUUGAGCCAACUGUAUUAUGAUUUUCCCCUCCUGGGAUUUCCUUCUUAGUGAAUGACACCACUAGUCACCCUUCUUCAAGCUGGAAACCUGGAUGUCAUCCUUGACCCCCAUUUCUCUCUCCCCUCCAAGCUUGAAGAGUGACCAAAUUCUGUCAACUCUACCUCUUUAACACCCUCUUUUACCAUCUUUGCCUCCUCACCCUGAAGACCUCACCGCCUCAGUCCAGUGGUCACCAUCUGUUGGAUGGUAUAUUACAGUGAAGUGUAGCCCUGCUUUCAAUCCCUUCUCUAGGCAGCUGCCCCAAAGAAUAUGAAACCAUAAGUCUGAUUAUGCUGUUCCCCAGCCCAUGCCACUCCUUUGCUCUGAUGCUCUUUUCCUUCCACUUGUCCUUCUGAUGAACAUCUAGCUAUUCAUCUUUAUGAGUCAGCUCGUCUGAGGGUUUUUCUUGAGAAAACUCUCUACUUUCAGCUUCUAGAAGUGGCCACUCCCACCUUUGCACCCUGCGGUGUCCUGAACACACUUCUUCAGUCCACCUGUGUCCUCUACACUGGAAACUUUUUCUAGGCCAGGAUGUCUUCAACCUACAGUGUCCAAAUGGCCACUACGGCAGAGUAGCUGCUUAUUAAAUGCCUGUGGUUUACAAGAUGCUGUUUUGUACUUUGCUGCUCACAAAGUACUUUCAAAAACAUUGCCUCACUUAAAACAUUUUUUUCUGAGACUUGCAUCCUGGCUCUUGAGAAAGUCCCUCCAUAUCUUUGAACCUAGUGUCCCGAUAUAUCAGGGUAUAAUCAUACUUAUUUGUGAAUUAAAGUCCAUGUUCUUCUUCCUGUCUUGAAACUGCUUCUCUAACAGAGAGAGAGAAAAAUGACCAUUUACAUAAGUAACAAGUGCAAGUGCUAUGUGGCAAAACUGAAAACUUUAUAUCACCAUUAACCAAAUUAAAAUUUCAGUUUCCACUUUUCCAUUCACUCAGAUUCAGGUGUUGUCUGUGUAGAAUGUACAUCACUGUACUGUUUGAAAUGAAUUUGAAUAUAUCACACUUAUACAGUUUAACAGAGCCAAAGGACAACUGGAUUCUUGGCACUGUGUUAGAAUCUUUCACAUAGAUAAAGCCAUCUAUGAUGUGAUUAUUAUAACCACUGUGCCCAGGGUGCCACAUUUACCUUUGGUGAGUCUCCCUCUUGUUGAAACUAGGAGAUAAUUUAAUUAAAACAUUGAUUAAAUGCUUAUUGUGUGUUUUCCACAGCAACUAACACAGUGGUUUGUGUUAUCCAAGUUGUAUAAGGCUUGGCUCUCCCUGGAAUAGUUUGUGAACAUCUAACCCCCCUAUUAUAGUAGGACUAAAAUACUAGUCCGAAUUACUAAAAGAGAUGACCAGAAACUAGGAGCAUAGAAAGGCAAGAUCACUCUCAGUUGAGAGAUCAAUCCAUCCUUGCAUUAUGGAGGAAAAUUAGACUUUCCUUUAAGACCAAGUAAGAAAUAACAUAAUUCAACAUUUAUUAAGCUCUUUCCAUGUUAAGCACUUUACAAGGAAUACUUCAUUUAAUCCUUUAGAGAGUCCCAUGAGGUUAGGAUUUGUAAUCACAUUUUAUGAAGGAAGAAACUAAAGCACAAAAAAGCAGACUCAGAGAAGUGGCAGCAGCAGGAUUUGAAUUCAGAGAGUUGGCUUCCUAUUCCACUCGGUUAACCCAGUCUGUAAACCAGGCAGUGUCUGAUGAUAGCAUCAUCAGGUCUUACCUUGGCAGAUGAAUGAUUUGCCAAAUCUGCCCCAGCUCGGCUGUGCUUUGAGACCCCCAGUCCCUGUUCUGUGAACAUGGGUGGGAGAAUUGACCUGAUAAUCUGGAUUAGCUCUCCUUCUAAAGUUAGAAUCCCCAGAUUGCUUACACAAGAUGGAUUUGGGUUUUGGAGAGAGGUGGAGUAGACCUAUGUGUAUGUGUUGAGGGGUGAUGGGUGGGAAAGGAGACACUUUGGGGGGACCCUGCACCCUCACUACUCUUCUUAGAGUUUCUUCUCAUUUUGAAAGCUGACCUACCAUUUCUUUAGUCAGUAGAAAUACUGAGUUCUCUGGUCUGGAUCCAUUGACUCUGCUGAGAACCGAGUGCCACCUCUGAUUUACCACACUUGAAUCCAGAACCUCAUUGCCUUUUGAAAGACAUACCAGUCAAGAUAUGGUACAGGAAGCAGGGCUCAGACUGCAAAUCUAUUGCUUCACAGUCACUGCUGAGCACUGUUUCCAGGCACCCAGAGGAGUACAGGUUUCCAAGCCUCUCUUCAUGGAACUUGGAGUCCAUUGGACAAUUCCACCACCUACAGAGGUAAAAAUGAAUUUUAGAAAGCUGUAGUAAUUCAAAACAAAACAAAACAACCCAUCUCCCUGAGGGUAUUUGAAUUUAGCUUCUGAUGAAAAUAAGGCCAUUUCAGUGACAUCAUACAGCCAUGUUUACCUUUUCCUGCCAUCUCCGAUUGGAGCCAGCUCAGUGCUUGUCCCCGGCCAAAACUAACAGCUGGACGUCUUUUGCAACUUUAAGAAGCCACUCUUUUAUUUAGUGCUGAGAAAUCUUUCUAAGGAUUGUUUCACGGAACUGUGCUCAGUCCAGCUCUUCUGUAGGGAAACAAAUCCAGGAUGGCUUUAAGGGUAAUCAGUUAUCACAGAGUCAAAGUUCAUUAUCAUUAAACCAGGUUACUGUUUCAGUGGAUGUUUCACUUAGUAUAUGUUUAGAAGGGCUCCAAAUUAAACAAUCUGACCAAUUCCUUUUUCACUUGUCUCUCUGCCAGUAAAUAAAUGCUGAAUAUUAUAGUCCAUGUGACUGAGUCUCUUCUCCUCUACACAAGGCUGUUAUUAAUGUAACUUUUAUUGAGUACCUACUGCAUGUAAGGCUCAAUUUUGGAUGCCAUGGUGAAUGGAAAGGUGAAAAAGACACUCCUUCUCUUCUCUAGAAGAUAUUGGGAAGGUACCACCACAUAUAAAAUAUCUGAACAAGCCAUGCGAUAAUCACCGCUAGCUGAAGGAACCUCUAGGGGUCAGAGGAGGUAUCUGAGAGGAGAGAGAUUUGAACCGGACUUAAAAUGAUGUGCAGGACUUUCCUGAGUAGAUGUGACAUCUGCAGAGUCGCAGAUGAUUGAUUAUGCUGUACAAGCACUUGGGGGAGCGGCCAUAUUCACCGUAGCUAUUCAUUGUCAAUGAAGGCUGUUGCCUGUAAGUUUCAGCUUCCACUGCAGAACCCAAACAGAGUCAGCGCAGACUGCACUGUACAUUGACCCUCUUUAACAGAGACAAGAAGACCCCUCACUCCUACCUCUCUCCUGUUGCACAGGGAGAAGUUAACCAGAGAUCCUGAGAAGGCUGGCAUGUCCUUGCUCUGGCCAGCAGUCCGGUCUCUGAAAAGGUUGAGGGAGGCUCACGGUAAUCUUGGGAAGAUGCUGGUCACUGGUCCAAUAAGCACCUGGUCCCUGGAGCACAUUUCCCUUGUAGGGUCCUGCAUUCAAGCAGACAAAACCCCCCCUCUCUCCUUCUACCUCCUGGGUCAUGUUUCUCUUAGCUCAGCUUCCCAGAGACAUGCAGAGGCCAGGGGAGUGGAUCCAGCCAAAACAUGUCCUUGGCGGAGAUGCCAAGAUAGAGCCUUGAAGAACAAAGGAAGUGUAGCAGAUAAGUGGCUUCCUCCGAAGGAAUCCAGUGGGUUAUGACUACAGUGAGCUGUUGGCACCAGCGGGGGAUGGAAACCGGGCCUUGAAAGCUGAAUCCCAGCUUGUCUGGGAUGCAGUCAAACCUGGCACGUGUGUAGCAUGAAUGAGGGCUGGAUGCAGGAUGCUGUGGGGCUCCCUCUCAGUGGUGUGGCCUUUCCCAGCAGCCCCGCCCAACGAUGGAGAAGGGGACUGAGUCACAGGGGGAGCUGAGCUGUGUGCUCUGACCACCAGAGCGGCUGCUUCAGGCCAGGGAGGAAUAAGAUUUGUCCUGGUUUCUUUAAAAAGAAAACACACAAGUUCUUUCUAUUUAGCCAAGCCUUAGGCAGGUAAGAAGUAUCCCUUGCAAAUUCAGGGCAGUGUCUUUCUGAUACUGCAAUCACUUGGUUUGCUAGCUUUUUAAAAAAGCUAAAAACUUCAGGCCUGGUGAACUUGAAUCUGAGAUAAUUUGGGAAAUUUGCCAAGUUUAACGCGUGCCCCAUGUGAGUCCUUUGCCCUAGAUAAGUAAAAUCCUGCCUCUAGUUACAAAUAGAAGGACUGUGAAGCUUGCGUUUUGUAUACCAAGCAGUGAUGGUGGCUUCCAGAAGACCUAAAUGAAAUUCAAGACGUUCAUUCACUUCCCCAAACAUAUUUAGAUCCUGAAGCUGAGAUCCUGUGAUACUUUAGAUACUAAAUAGUUCAGGGACUGCAGUGGUACUAGCCUACCUCAGCUAGUUGCCUGACAUGGUUGCAAGACAAUUUAUACAUCUGAGCUUCUGUUUUUGCAUUUUCAAAAGGGUAGAGUUGACUGGUUGAAUGCAAUUGGAACCAAGAGUUCUUCCGGUUUUGUCUGGGUUGAACAGAGGACCCCCAUCAAGGGAAAUGGGCUCCAGGAGCCAGUGACCAGCAUCUGCUUUUAUUCUGCUGAGGUUUAGUGGUUGAGAAACUAGGCUUUGAUGCAAGACCUUCCUGUUUGAAACCAAACUCUGACACCCAUUAGCUGUAUGACUUUGGGCAAGUAACUUAACAUCUCUAUGUCUCAAUUUUCUCAUCUAAAAGGGAAUAUAAUAGUAAGAUAUUCCUCCCAAGUGUUACAAGCACGUAAAGCACUUAGAAUCUCGCCUGCCUGGUAGAAACACUCAACAAAUGUUGACUUUAGUAUGCAUUUUGUGUUUUAUAGAUGAUCCUUUGCAAGACCUUCCAGCUUAAUCACUGAGAGCUUCCCUGGGGCUUGAAAGUACAUUUUACUACAUGUGCUGGGAUAGUACGCUAUGUUCGUCUAGAGUCAACAAAUAUUUACUAAGGCUUUACCUGGUAACAAAGGUGCAGAGAAAAGGCAUAUACGUUGCCUUCACGCAGCUAUUAGUCUUGUCGGGAGAUAGGCAUUUUAUUGUUGGUUUACUUGCCUGUAAUUGUACAAAGAACUAUGAACAAAGGAAGAAUCUGUUAGUCCUUCGAAUCCUUUUUUCUUUGCUUUCAUGGCAGAAUCUCAUUUUGAUCCUGACAAGAGUCCUGUGCAAAAAGCAGGCAGUAUUUAGGAGAGUGGUUUUCAAUACUCAGUGACUUGUGGGGUUCUUUGGAGGCCCUUAGAAGCCAAGGGGGGAAGUGAAAUGAACAUUAAGGGUCUCCCUGUCCCUCCUCCAAGUACACAUGAACACACUUCCUCCAAUCAGAAUAUGUCUAUUCUAACUAUUUGAACUUCCUCAGGAGGCCGUCAUUAAAUCAGGUUCUGCUGGGUGUAGAGAGUGGUGUGGAGGAAGAAAUCCAAGAUCUGGCUCUUUCCUGCAAAUUAGGACUUCUGAGAGGAUGGCCUUGGCAUAGAACUGAGGCUCAAGAAGGAGAGGCAGAGCCUCGGGGCUCUUUCUCACUGAGAUGCAAGUGGAAUUCAUUGUGGAGCAGCUGACAUGGGGCAAUUAAUAAAUGAACUUUAUUUGUCCAAUCUGAAAAACACCAAGAAUAUGAGCAGAACAUCUGUGGAGAAGAAACGCCAUAGAGAGUGCUUAAAUGUACGAGGACUGAGAGAAGAAAUCUGAGACUUUUGAGCCUGGAAAUGGAAUACAAAGGCAGAACUAUCAGAGAGGAAUCUCUUCAUAAUUUUCUUAUGAAUUCAUCAUGAAUAAAAUGUUUGAUAUCAGAAUUUGUAACCGAGCGGGACCCUAUGGUGCCUUCCCACAACUGACCUCCCCCCAGGCCCUCCUCCGCCUGCCUUUUGUCUGUAGAAAAACUUUAGUCAAAGAAUAUAUUUAAACAGAGAAGUGAGAAAAUGCAGAAAGAAAGGAAAACAGUCAGAAUACAAAAUAAUAAUAGUUUAGCCAUUAAACAAAGUCAAGGACCUUUCAUUCCUCCUCGAGGGCUAUAGAGAAUAUUCUGAGUCAUGUCCUUUGAGCUGUCUGAUAGAUACUGGACCUCACCCUCUGCCCCCACCAGGUGGAAGAAGUUAACUGUAUGCUGCCCACAAGCAUGUAGACCCCAGACUGGUUGGAACCAGAAGGUUGAUGAUGCUGACUCCCGAUUACCUCACCACCAACCAAUCAGAAGAGUGUCCACGAGCUGACCACACAUUCCACAACCUCCCUCCCUCACCCUGUCUUUAAAAGUCUCUCCCUGAAAGCCUUCAGGGAGUUUGGGUCUUUUAAACACUAGCUGCCUGGACUCCUUGCCUGGCGCUCUGCAAUAAACACUG
This is an RNA transcript of Physeter macrocephalus (sperm whale), 8251 nucleotides long. It is a transcript of the gene named sorting nexin 18, with no coding region annotated. The record is from RefSeq and is a predicted model, not a curated record. Lineage: Eukaryota; Metazoa; Chordata; Mammalia; Artiodactyla; Physeteridae. The transcript has 3 exons.